RNAcentral lists this ribosomal RNA (725 nucleotides) under uncultured bacterium. RNAcentral's name for it is "bacterial SSU rRNA". It matches the Rfam family "Bacterial small subunit ribosomal RNA", at positions 1 to 715 of the family's 1533-position model. The record is from RNAcentral.
CCCUUAGAGUUUGAUCCUGGCUCAGGACGAACGCUGGCGGCGCGCUUAACACAUGCAAGUCGAGCGAGAACCAGGGCUUCGGCCCUGGGGAAAGCGGCGAACGGGUGAGUAACACGUGAGUAAUCCACCCUCGGCACCGGGAUAGCCCGGGGAAACCCGGAUUAAUACCGGAUGGCCCGCCGGCCUCUUGAGGCCGGCGGAAAAGGUAGCUUCGGCCUCCGGCCGAGGACGAGCUCGCGGCGGAUUAGCUUGUUGGCGGGGUAACGGCCCACCAAGGCGACGAUCCGUAGCUGGUCUGAGAGGACGAUCAGCCACACUGGGACUGAGACACGGCCCAGACUCCUACGGGAGGCAGCAGUGGGGAAUCUUGCGCAAUGGGCGAAAGCCUGACGCAGCGACGCCGCGUGAGGGAAGAAGGCCUUCGGGUUGUAAACCUCUUUCAGUAGGGACGAAGUCACUCGGGUUAAUAGCCCAGAGGGUGACGGUACCUACAGAAGAAGCCCCGGCUAACUACGUGCCAGCAGCCGCGGUAAUACGUAGGGGGCAAGCGUUGUCCGGAUUCAUUGGGCGUAAAGAGCGUGUAGGCGGCCUGGUAGGUCGGUUGUGAAAACUCGAGGCUCAACCUCGAGACGUCGACCGAAACCACCUGGCUAGAGUCCGGAAGAGGAGAGUGGAAUUCCUGGUGUAGCGGUGAAAUGCGCAGAUAUCAGGAAGAACACCCGUGG